RNAcentral lists this ribosomal RNA (484 nucleotides) under uncultured bacterium. RNAcentral describes it as "bacterial SSU rRNA". It matches the Rfam family "Bacterial small subunit ribosomal RNA", at positions 30 to 507 of the family's 1533-position model. The record is from RNAcentral.
AUUGAACGCUGGCGGCAUGCCUUACACAUGCAAGUCGAACGGCAGCACGGGAGCAAUCCUGGUGGCGAGUGGCGAACGGGUGAGUAAUAUAUCGGAACGUGCCCGGUCGUGGGGGAUAACGUAGCGAAAGCUACGCUAAUACCGCAUACGAUCUACGGAUGAAAGCGGGGGAUCGCAAGACCUCGCGCGAUUGGAGCGGCCGAUAUCAGAUUAGGUAGUUGGUGAGGUAAAGGCUCACCAAGCCGACGAUCUGUAGCUGGUCUGAGAGGACGACCAGCCACACUGGGACUGAGACACGGCCCAGACUCCUACGGGAGGCAGCAGUGGGGAAUUUUGGACAAUGGGCGCAAGCCUGAUCCAGCAAUGCCGCGUGCAGGAUGAAGGCCUUCGGGUUGUAAACUGCUUUUGUACGGAACGAAACGGUGAGCUCUAAUACAGUUUGCUAAUGACGGUACCGUAAGAAUAAGCAUCGGCUAACUACGUG